UGAAGUUGCAUAUACAUCUUCAAAUCUGACCAUUGUCAUAGCUGUUGCAUUUAUAUCUCUCAUCAAUGGAUCAGGGAAUGGAUGAGCAACAGCACUUGAAAGCAUUUUGUCGAGUGACUCCAAAGCAAAAGCACACAAUUUUUGAACCUCCGGUCCUGAAGAAAGUCUAUUGACAAUACCCCUACCCAUCUUUACAGGUAAGCCAGUUAACGGACCCACUUCAGCUUCAAGCUUCUUCACAGCUUCAUCUAUAAUCUCAUAAAGGUUUUGAUACUUUUCAGUCUUGUUAAGAAGUUUUCUACUUAAGGACACACGAUAGCAUAAUAUGUCUACCCGCCUGGUAUCCUUGGCCAUCAAUAAUUGUUUUCUCCAGCAUCCAAG
RNAcentral lists this unclassified non-coding RNA (381 nucleotides) under Hevea brasiliensis (rubber tree). The record is from RNAcentral. Lineage: Eukaryota; Viridiplantae; Streptophyta; Magnoliopsida; Malpighiales; Euphorbiaceae.